This 70-nucleotide non-coding RNA is filed under the name uncultured Ruminococcus sp. RNAcentral describes it as "Fluoride riboswitch". It matches the Rfam family "Fluoride riboswitch aptamer (crcB RNA motif)", at positions 7 to 62 of the family's 64-position model. Lineage: Bacteria; Bacillati; Bacillota; Clostridia; Eubacteriales; Oscillospiraceae. The record is from RNAcentral. RNAcentral also lists the same sequence under 1 other name.
CAAAGGGAAUGAGGUUCUCCCUUGGAUUUUUAUCCUAAACCGCUUAUGAAAGCUGAUGACUUCUGCGAUU